UUGUGGUUGUGUUGUUUGUUACUAGCUGCUUGCUUAAACUUGUACUGAGCUCCUAACUGCUACCUCUGAUGGACACAUUUAAAUUUGCCAUAUUUUAUUUGACUGACAAAAGUGUGAAAAUCUACAAUACCUCUUUCAUUAAAGGUCAAACAGUGGGUUAGUUUACCCAGGUGACCUGUCAGCCUGACAUUGACAGUGAUGAAGGGUGGAUUGAAAUCAACUGUACCAGCACCAAAUGACCAAAGGCAGUUGCAGCAAAGGUACUGCUGUUUGGAGAGUUGCCAGAGUUGGUGAACUCAGUGAAGGAAUGUAUUGAAUCUAUUCUUGAUGGCUCUGAGAGUUUUCACAGAAGAACAUCAUCAUUGCCAGACAGUGAGAUUGAAAUGGUUCCCCUAGCUGACAGUAAUAUCUUGGUCCAAAAAAAUCCUACCAGAGGCUAAACAGAGCAAGAAUGAGCAUCUUUGCACAGGAGCUUGCUGUUUUAGUCUUCUCAGAGGAAACUCCAAAAGAAUCCACUCUCACAGGAAAGUCUCGGCCAGAUGACCCAUCAAAAAAGCAACUGGAGAAGGAAAAGGUACAUGCCUUGACAAGUAAAGACAUGAUCUCAUUUGCCAUGUUUUGAUUGCUGCAAUACCAACAUAGUUAUAUGGAACAUCUAUAUGUAUAGUGAGGCACAUUCUGCUGACUUUCUGUUCUAGUAAAGAUUAGCAGACUAAGAUUUCUUAAGUAUUCAGUAUCACUAACGGAUACCGUCAUGGUGGAAUUUCCAAACACAACACCAGGUGCAAUACGGCGCAAAUGUAACAAUGAGCAAUUUGCAAAUAAAAGAAAGAUUUAACUUAUGGAAUUUUUAAGUACUAUUUCAGUAACAUUUUUUUGACAAUCUUCUGUUGACCUAUUGACCUAUUCUCUAUAGAUAUGCUUAAGCAUACAUGAUCUUUGUCUGUAAAAAGAUUUGUAGGGUUAUCUGCUCAAAAUUUAAACAACUAGCUAGACCUAUCCACCUCUACGGGGACCAUUAUAUAUGGAAUGAGAACAGGGACAUAUCCAAGUAGAUAUUUUUACACCCAGGGAACCAAGAGAACCACUUAUGGAGUUCAUUUACACUUUUAGACAAUUGUAUUUAAAAGGGUCUUCACAGGAGACACAAUCUAUUAGCUCUAUCACCACCAUUACCAUGAGUUAUAAAUUACCAGAAAUGAAAGUGCUUAAUUGCAAGGUAGAACAAAUUGGGGUUAAAGUACAAAAAUGGUGAUUAGAGAUAGAAGGUUAUGUUAAAGUAGGAAAAGAUUAACAGUAUUAUUAGAAGAGUGAAAGAUGAAAGAAAAGGGGUAGAAGAUGGUGUUCUUUGAAACAUAGCUAUGAGCAAAUUGAAUCCAUUUAAAUAUGUGCUAUGGUUACUUUCACACCAAAGAUGGGAAAUUGAUCACAGCAAAUCAGCCCUACUGAAGAUGUUUGUUCUUCAUGGAAAAAAAAUCCUUUUGCAUUGAAUUCCUAUGUUUUGGUAGAAUAGGAGAUGAACAAAAUCACAUUGCCUAUAUUUAAAAAAAAACAACAAAAAAAAAAAACUGUGCAUUCGGUGUCUGUUUCUGAGAUUCUCUUAGUUGUAACAUCAAACUUAGCUGGCUAACUGGUUAAGAACUGGUGGUUGUCCAAAAAAGAAAUGUCCAAUCCGAUACAUUACUCAAAAAGUAUUGAGUGUAUUCUAAACAGAUAUAAGUUCAGAUAUGAACAGGAGGUGCUUUUUGUGUGGGAAUGGGAUUCCAUGGGAUGCAGUGAAAAGGACACACAGGAGGUUUUUAAUUUUAGGGGCACAAGCUAGCAGUCGGAUAUGAAGAUUGCAGGACAAACAAAGCCCAGUUAUGAAAUGGAGUGAUGUAGCUGAGGUUUAGGUACUGUCAGAGGCACAAUUCACAAACCAUGGUGACAGAGCUGGCAUUGCUACCUCUGUUUUUCCAAUGUUUCUGAGAGCAUAGUAGUAGGGUUCAUACGUAUUUGAUUGAAAAAGGUGGGGGGACUUUCAGGUUUAGGUGACACCCACUUCAGGUAUAUAUCUGGUAAAGAUAUGGAUACUGUAUUUGGAGCACUACACAUUGCAUUACCCCUCCUUGGCACAGUUUAAAACUUUGAUCAUUUUAUCAGAAAGUGAUAAAUCAGAAGCUAAGAGAAGGAUUUCUGUUAAAGAAAACCCAGAGCACAUUAAAGAAUAAAAUACAUUAUCAGUACAAACCUUUAUGAUUUCAGUUGAAGAAAAAGAAUGCCAGGGCAGAGCAUGCAAACAUCAUAGUUAUCCAGCUGUCCAUGGUUCAGAUUGGAUGGUGAUCUUAGUUAAACUAAAUAGGUUUGGUCAAAAGCCAACAGCCAAUGCAUAUUUUAUCUGAUAAUAAUAAUACUUUUAUAUUGGCCAUAAAUUAUCUAGCAGUUAGUGUAUGUUAUUGUACUCAUACCAUGCAUAGUAACAAUGGAGAUUGAUUUCUAUUUAAUUUCUCAUACUCAGGACUGCAUAGGGAGUUUGUGGACAUUUGUAGUACAGCAUGUACAGAUGCUGUGUCAUCCGAAAUCUCAUAUCCAGAGAUUAGUGGGUGUUACCAUGGUAUCUAGCAAGCUCCUGAGAGUCUUCUCUUUGCCUGGUUGACAGUAUGCACCAAUUCUAUUGGGCAUACAGAUGUUAG
Pangasianodon hypophthalmus (striped catfish) is the source of this 2672-nucleotide long non-coding RNA. RefSeq lists it as uncharacterized. The transcript has 3 exons. Lineage: Eukaryota; Metazoa; Chordata; Actinopteri; Siluriformes; Pangasiidae. The record is from RefSeq and is a predicted model, not a curated record.